AUUAAUUACCCAUGCCUGGUAAUAUAUUACUUAAACAGAGGUUACAUUUUCUGUAAUUAUCCAGCUAUUAACCCAUGCCUGGUAAUAUAUUACUUAAACAGAGGUUACAUAUUCUGUAAUUAUCCAGCUAUUAACCCAUGCCUGGUAAUAUAUUACUUAAACAGAGGGUACAUUUUCUGUAAUUAUCCAGCUACAUGUAUUAACCCAUGCCUGAUAAUAUAUUACUUAAACAGAGGGUACAUUUUCUGUAAUUAUCCAGCUACAUCUAUUAGCCCAUGCCUGGUAAUCAGUGGGACAGCGUUUAUGUGUCUGUUCCAGGGCUUUUUACAGAAUAAAUACCGUAUUGUCGAGGCCAGCUGAGACUUGGCUAGUCACAUAUAUAUUUUACUAGUAAACAUAAACAUAUCAGUACUUAUAUCAUCCAAUAUUGUAUUUUAUUUUUACACAGAAAUGUAGUCACUUAUACUUAUAUGUUAAAUAUUAUUGCAUGUGUAUUACCAUAUAUACUUGGUACAUUUUAUAUAAAUUAGGCUUAAUAUUACAAUUGAAUUGUCUCUUAAAAUUUGAAGUAUUAAUUGAUAGGCUUUAAAAAUAGGGUAAACCUCUGCAGAUCUGAUCAAUCAUAAAUUAUUGUACAAUGUACUUCAUCUUUAAGAUUAUUUACAUAUACAAGUGGUUAUGGUUUGUAUUUGUUAAUUUUAAAUAUCUAUAUAUGCAAAGGCAAUUAGCUGUAUGUUUAGAUAUAAAAUCUACAUAUGUGUUUUUCCUAUGAUCAGUACUUCAGAAAUAGAACUUUUAAUUUGUACUGUAAAUUUAAUUGCAUCUUUGUUAUUUGAUACUUAAAAAUGCUGAACUCCACCUCCCUACUCGCACCUCUGAAAGUUCACUCUCAUUCCAACUUAAACUAGAACUUUAUAUACUUUUUAUUGUGAUCAAAGGCUUUGCUGCUAUCUUUAUCAAGUCUAUGCAUAAUCACACAUGAAUGUUUAACAAUUAAUUUAACUCCCUACUUAACAUACAUAAUGAUUAAGUAAACUUGCACUUUUUUACUAAUGCCCCAUAUUAUAGAUGCAUAUAUCUUGUAAUAGUAAUCAGGUUUUUCUUCUUUUUUUUUCGCAAAAUAUUGAUAUGUUUUAAAAACUUAGUGAUUUCCAUGAUCCUAGUCUGCUUGGUAAUUUUUUGGGCAGAUUGAAUUCAAAAUGGCCACUAAUCAGCCAUCUUGGAUUUUAACAUUGAAACAUUCAAAUUCUUUUGCUUUUUAUUGAAACAUUUUUUCAGCACAUUAUGGUGCAAAGUUGGUCACAAUUAGACAAGAAUUCAACAGGUCGAAGGUCAAGGUUAUUGGAUUAAAGAUCAAGGUCAUGUUUUCAUCUCCUAAUUGGUUAACAUUUUGUCUCAACAUUAUAAAGCAAAGCUGAUCAGAAUCAAACAAGGUUUCAACUGACCAAUGAUUAUAAGGAUAUUGGGUCAAAUGUCCAGGUCAAAUUUUACAUUCCUCAACUGGUGAACAUUUUGUUACGACAACAAAGAAUUAAACAAGGUUUCAAUUUACCUACAAAAUAUUUAAAUCAUUUUACAGUGAUUAGUGUACUCAGCAAAUUGUAUAUUGAUUUGGACAUCAGAUUUAAUCGAACUUGCCUAGUGUAAAAAAAAGGAAGGAAAAGUCCUCUGUAUAUGAAUAGUGAGAGAAGAUUAAUUUAGAAAACUUACUUGUAGUUGAUGUUUUACCUUAUAAAAUAUGGUGUAUUUAUCCUGAAAUAAGUCCACAUGUUCCAAUGACAAAUAAAAAGGUAAGAAAAAGGUACUGAUUCGAAUAUUGAUUGUAGGAAUGCUUUGUGAUUUGAAGAGAUAAUGACAUUGACAUAAAAUAGUGGUUAAUUGUCCUACCGAUCAAACUACCUUUGUAUAACACACUAAUAGUUCAACUUAAAAUAUUGAAAUAAAAUUAAAAAAAAAGAUAUAUUUUCAGGUAUUUAAUAACAUAUGAAAGUCCAUAGUUUUGAUGCUAAUGAAGUGAUUUACUACUGAAGUUUCUUAUUGUUUUACAUAAUUUUUCAAUGAUCAAAUACACUUAUACUUUCAGUGAUAAAGGAUUUUUGAUUUAAUUAUACAUGUGAAGUGAUUUAUUGUAUGACCCGAUUAUCUUACAACCAGAAUGUUUUGUUUUCUUUAUUAAACACUAGAAAUAAAAAAAAUUGAUAACCGUGUCCUAUAAAUGAUCGCAUAUUAGACUGAAAGUUACACACCAGAUACAGCGAUGGAGUAUGAUAUAUUUGAGAUACAAAUAAUAAUUUAUUGACAUUGAAUUAAAAAUAAAUAAAUAAAUAAAAAAGAUAAGUUCAUAAAUUUUGGAGGGUGUAAAUAGUGUAAACUAAAUAUAUGUAACUUUUGGUAUUAUAUAAAAAUACACAUUAAACAAUUCUUGUUUUCAAUCUAUCAUAAUUUCUAUUUUUCCACAAUAUAGCAUCUUUUAGUAAAAAUAAGAAAAUUGUAAGAAUUGAUUCUGAUUGGUAAAAAAUACUAUAAGAAUUAAUAUGAAAAUGAUUGAAAAUAACAUUUUACCAUUAUAUCAAGUCAGGAAAUAUUGUGAUGGAAAAACUUAGUAAUUGUGUCAUUGAAAUUGUAAUAUGAAUUGUGUUAGGAAUAAAAUUUAUGUAAUUUUUAGUUUGCGGCAGUUUCCAUAUUUAAUUGUGACAUUAUAAUUCAACUUCACAUGAGUGACGUCACAAAAUGAAAAAGUGACAUUUUGUCAAAGUAACACUAUAUCACUAUCAACCUCUGAUAAAGCUGACUUUGGAAAUAUUUGCAUCACCAACAAGUGAUAAGUGAUAAACAAAAUAAUAGAUUUGUCUUAAAUAUGUCUUUUCAUAUGACCAGACUGAGACUUUCAAAAUAUUGAAAUCUUAAAACUUAAUUCAUAAAUCUCCCAUGAGCUGGAAACCAAUGUAAGGUCCGUGGUUACAUAAACAAAUUCUUUAAACAAUUAAUUGUAGAUUAUGUAUAUUACGGCACUACCUCUACUUAUAGAGCAUAUCAAUUCACUGUUAUAAAUUUGCACAGAUAUUUUUGAACAUUAAGGUGACAUUCCUAGGGUAGAUUUUUAUUCCUCAUUUAACUGUUUCCUACCUAGUGCUGGUGUUCAUGGUUAAUGUGACAUCACAAGGUCACUUAAGUCAAUAUCAAGUUUCAAAAUAUACUCAUUAGAUAAUGUUUGUUAAUGAUAAAAGAUACAAUGUACUUAGAAACUAGGUCAUUAUCGUAGAAACUAGGUCAUUAUCUUAGAAACUAGGUCAUUAUCGUAGAAACUAGGUCAUUAUUGUUAGAAAUGAGACUACUCAGAUCAUCUUUUUGCCCACCGUUUCAAUGUUACAGGUACACUUUAAUAUAAGUGUUAAAUGAUCUUCCUCUUCUUCUUAAUAUCAUUUGUAAAGUAAAUACAAAUGCUGCUUAAUAGAGAGUUAUAUGAUUUUUUAUAUGAUGUUAAAAAUUGAAUUUCAAUAUUUGCAAUAAAAUUGCUUUUUUGUGAGA
Pecten maximus is the source of this 3528-nucleotide long non-coding RNA. RefSeq lists it as uncharacterized. The transcript has 2 exons. Lineage: Eukaryota; Metazoa; Mollusca; Bivalvia; Pectinida; Pectinidae. The record is from RefSeq and is a predicted model, not a curated record.